This is a long non-coding RNA of Camellia sinensis, 563 nucleotides long. RefSeq lists it as uncharacterized. The record is from RefSeq and is a predicted model, not a curated record. NCBI's taxonomy places the organism in Eukaryota, Viridiplantae, Streptophyta, Magnoliopsida, Ericales, Theaceae.
CCACUCACCAAAACAUAAUUUACCAGAUUUGCACACCCCCAUCACCGAUCCAUUACAGACCAAGCACCGAUACACACUGGGCAAUGAUCUCACCCUAUGAAUGACGAAAAUCAUAUCCACCAUGGACACAGAACUGUGCAUCCAUGGAAUGCAGUAAUGUUGGAUCGGAGUGUUUUGUUGACUACACAAGUCAAUUUAUUACUAAAGAGUGAAGUCGUGAACCAGAAGAGAAUAGAGUGAAGUCGUCUUUAGCAUGAACGGAGACCGGUUUAGACUAGUUUAGACUGGUUUCCAAACCUCUGGAAUGAUGACAAUGAAACAGAGAAUGGAGGGGGACGUUCACAACGUGUGUGUUUUUGAAGUAGACGUGUAUAUUACAGGAAAUAUAGAAGAUUGAAGAUUGUGGGUGGGGUGUGUAAGUGCGUAAAGGUAAAGAAGAAAGAUCGUGGGUGGGAUGUGUAAGUAAGGGCAAAGACGUAAGAUUAUGGUGUGUAUUGAGCAAAUUUCUUAUUUAUCAAAUUACUAAAGGUGUGCCUUCAGUAAUGGUGUCCCUUGAAAUAAAA